AGUGAACGCUGGCGGUAGGCCUAACACAUGCAAGUCGAACGGCAGCACAGUAAGAGCUUGCUCUUACGGGUGGCGAGUGGCGGACGGGUGAGGAAUACAUCGGAAUCUACUUUUUCGUGGGGGAUAACGUAGGGAAACUUACGCUAAUACCGCAUACGACCUGCGGGUGAAAGCAGGGGAUCUUCGGACCUUGCGCGAUUGAAUGAGCCGAUGUCGGAUUAGCUAGUUGGCGGGGUAAAGGCCCACCAAGGCGACGAUCCGUAGCUGGUCUGAGAGGAUGAUCAGCCACACUGGAACUGAGACACGGUCCAGACUCCUACGGGAGGCAGCAGUGAGGAAUAUUGGACAAUGGGCGCAAGCCUGAUCCAGCCAUACCGCGUGGGUGAAGAAGGCCUUCGGGUUGUAAAGCCCUUUUGUUGGGAAAGAAAAGCAGCAGGUUAAUACCCCGCUGUUCUGACGGUACCCAAAGAAUAAGCACCGGCUAACUUCGUG
Molecule: ribosomal RNA, 492 nt
Filed under: uncultured bacterium
Lineage: Bacteria
Description: partial 16S ribosomal RNA
Rfam family: Bacterial small subunit ribosomal RNA
Source: RNAcentral